UGAUCACUCAUCAGAGCAGUCACGCAGCGGCAGUAGGCACAGAGAGGCACGUGCUGAACGUCACACAGGCUGCAGACCAAGGGGCUGUUCCUCUCCAGGUGAUGAAUGGAAUCUCAGAGUGCAAAGACCACCACAUUGGCCCAGGCCUGUGUAGGGGGAGCCCACUCAUCCAUGGACAUUCUCAGCACCUACUGUGCACCAGGCAGAGUCAUCAUGCCACUGUCCUCGUCCCCAACCUCCCAUGUAUGCUCCAGCUGCCACAGGACAGGAGUUGAGAGACGGGGAAAGAAGGGAAACUUCAGGCUGGAAGAUUACAAGCAAAGAUCUCGGGACAUGAGAGGACAUGCCUGCCUGUUGCCACAUGGCUGAAACACAUCCUCACAGCUGGUCACUCCUGAGAUGAGCUAACCCUCUCCAUGCACAUGCAUGUAAAAAAUGGGCUAUAUCCUU
Long non-coding RNA from Arvicola amphibius (Eurasian water vole), 450 nucleotides. RefSeq lists it as uncharacterized. The record is from RefSeq and is a predicted model, not a curated record. NCBI's taxonomy places the organism in Eukaryota, Metazoa, Chordata, Mammalia, Rodentia, Cricetidae. The transcript has 4 exons.